Homo sapiens (human) is the source of this 2315-nucleotide long non-coding RNA. Ensembl annotates it as PCBP1 antisense RNA 1. Its record names the gene PCBP1-AS1. The record is from Ensembl. Lineage: Eukaryota; Metazoa; Chordata; Mammalia; Primates; Hominidae.
AAUUCCGGCGAAUCCGGUCCCGCCGUGCAUCAUGGCAAAGUGAGACUGUUGUCUUGCCACCUGGUUCAGCUUGGCCAGAUCGAGCGGAGAAAUGAGGAAGACAAACAUAAAGAUGAAGUGCUUAAUUCAAGGUCACACAAUGUCGGGGAUGGACCUCCAGAUUUCCUUACUGGUGAGACGUGGUCUUGUAACACAGUGGUUAAGAAUGUGACUUUGGAGCCAGCCUGCUAGGGGCUGAAUUCUGACUCAGCCAUUUACUAACUGUGUGACCUUAGGGAGGAGGACCUGGUUGAUAGAAGAAUUUAUCUCGUAGUCUUAACAUCCACUGUAAUUCCAAACUUUGAGGACGAUAGAGAUCAGUGGGCUUUGACUGCCCAGCAUGCAGUCUCCAUUCUUAGGUGGGUUCCCAAGCCUGUAAAAUGUAAGCCUUAUGCUGCUGAGGGCCAUCUUGCCACCCUGAGGGAAACGCUGCCUGAGAAUGAAACAAGCAUAAGUAAAAGCUGAGCUGUGAGAUGGAGCAAGAUGAAGGCCACAUGACAUCUUUGGAGCACCUGGAUCUAACUGUGCCUUAAGCUAGUCUAACCCUGAACAUUUCAUCAUUUCAUUGACAUGAGCCCAGGUUUUCUUUUUUUUUGGAUGGAGUCUUGCUCUGUCGCCCAGGCUGGAGUGCAGUAGCUCAAUCUCGGCUCACUGCAAGCUCCACCUCCCGGGUUCACGCCAUUCUCCUGCCUUAGCCUCCCAAGUAGCUGGGACAACAGGCGCCCACCACCACUCCCAGCUAAUUUUUUGUAUUUUUAGUAGAGACGGGGUUUUACCAUGUUAGCCGGGAUGGUCUUGAUCUCCUGACCUCAUGAUCCGCCCGCCUCGGCCUCCCAAAGUGCUGGGAUUACAGGUGUGAGCCACUGCACCCAGCCCUCAGGUUUUCCCUUUUUUUACCCCUCCUUUUGAAAAUUUGAUGUGGAAUUUUGCCACCUGCAGCCAGAAGAGUUUUAACUAAUCAGUGCCAUAAAUUUUAUAUAGUUCUCCUUGCAAAAUGUGGAUCAGCCUUUCUCAGCAAAUCCUUUGUCAUAAAGUGCUGAAUUGUAAGUUUGUCAUGAGAAUCACAUGAGAUCAUGCAUGUGAAGAACCUGGCAUUAUCCUCCUCAUAGAAAAAAACCAGUAAAUAUUAACUACAGGAAGCAAGGAAGGAGUGGGGUGAGGGGAAGAAGAAGGGGUACUGAUUUAAAAGAACCCUGGAGUCCUAAGGAUAAUCUAGGAACCCUCAGACCCAAUCCGAUACCCCUAUUCUAAAUGCUCCUAGUGCCCUGUACCUUCCCCUCAUAAGCCUUCAUUAUCAUUGUAAUGAUAUGUUUAUGUAAUAUUUUGAUUAAUGUCUCUCCUUCACUGACCUAGCAGUUCUAGCAGGGCAGUGAUUUUGCUGUGUUGCAUCCCCAGCACCUAGUCUGGUAUGUGGCAUUCAGCAUAUGUUUAUUGAAUGAAUGGCCAUGUGGUUAUUCAGAUCCUCCUUGAUUAUUGGGGUUAGGAUUGUGGCAGAAGUGGCAAAAUCAGGGAGAGUAGUCCCUGUCCCCUCUGUAUCUUAUACACUGCCCACACUCCCAACACACAUACACAUACAGAGAAUUUUGUCUCAAUUAGAUAAUUAACUUCUGCUUGGUUGUAAACCAAACCACUGGUUCUUAAACUUUCAUUGGAUCAUUUUAUUGAAGAAUUAAAUAGUGUGGUUCUGGCCUAAUGUCUGGAAAGCCUUGCAGAGGAGUGGAUUAGGUCUUUGUGAUAAACAGGCAGCCUUCCCUGCUCCUGUGUCUUUAUAAAAUCUAUUUAACUGGAGUAGUCCACCCUCCCUCAGGCUCUUACAGGAAUAUGUUGGAGGCUGUAGGAAGGUGGGAAACCGAGAGGGAAAGGACUGGGCCGCUGGAGACUUCACUCAUUCCCUAGCAAGAAACAAAAGCAGUAAAAGGUGGCCCGAGGACAACCUGAAGCUCACUCCUUCAGCACUUUUGGCUGGAGGUCACUUGUUGGAGCCCCACUCAGAGCUCAGCACACCACCCCACCAGCAGCCUCCUCCUCCCAGCUGAGGCUGCAUUUCAUCCCUUCCCCCAGCCUGCUUUCCCUGAGAUAGGGGAGUGUUUCCCAGGGCCCAUGUGACUUCCACUGGCAAGUGACGAUUACCAAUGGUUUACUAGUCAGUGAAACUACCAAAGGCUUUUGUGCUGUAGUAAUCCUUUUCCUGUUUAAAACUCUGGGGAUUUUCUAAUGUUGCCAAUAGUUUUUCAAGUCAGCAAUUACUGUGUGGAUUAUGUAAUGGCUCGGUAUUA